This 456-nucleotide ribosomal RNA is filed under the name uncultured bacterium. RNAcentral's name for it is "bacterial SSU rRNA". It matches the Rfam family "Bacterial small subunit ribosomal RNA", at positions 340 to 786 of the family's 1533-position model. The record is from RNAcentral.
UACGGGAGGCAGCAGUGGGGAAUAUUGCACAAUGGGCGCAAGCCUGAUGCAGCCAUGCCGCGUGUAUGAAGAAGGCCUUCGGGUUGUAAAGUACUUUCAGCGGGGAGGAAGGCGAUGCGGUUAAUAACCGCGUCGAUUGACGUUACCCGCAGAAGAAGCACCGGCUAACUCCGUGCCAGCAGCCGCGGUAAUACGGAGGGUGCAAGCGUUAAUCGGAAUUACUGGGCGUAAAGCGCACGCAGGCGGUCUGUUAAGUCAGAUGUGAAAUCCCCGGGCUUAACCUGGGAACUGCAUUUUGAAACUGGCAGGCUUGAGUCUUGUAGAGGGGGUAGAAUUCCAGGUGUAGCGGUGAAAUGCGUAGAGAUCUGGAGGAAUACCGGUGGCGAAGGCGGCCCCUGGGACAAGACUGACGCUCAGGUGCGAAAGCGUGGGGAGCGAAACAGGGAUUAGGAUACC